Molecule: ribosomal RNA, 449 nt
Filed under: uncultured bacterium
Lineage: Bacteria
Description: bacterial SSU rRNA
Rfam family: Bacterial small subunit ribosomal RNA
Source: RNAcentral
UCGGGAAUUUUGCACAAUGGGCGAAAGCCUGAUGCAGCGACGCCGCGUGGGGGAUGAAGGCCCUAGGGUCGUAAACCCCUUUCAGCAGGGACGAAAAUGACGGUACCUGCAGAAGAAGCCCCGGCCAACUACGUGCCAGCAGCCGCGGUAAGACGUAGGGGGCGAGCGUUGUCCGGAUUUAUUGGGCGUAAAGAGCUCGUAGGCGGUUGCGUAAGUCGGAUGUGAAAACUCAGGGCUCAACCCUGAGACGCCAUCCGAUACUGCGCUGACUUGAAUCCAGUAGGGGAGUGCGGAAUUCCUGGUGUAGCGGUGAAAUGCGCAGAUAUCAGGAGGAACACCCAUGGCGAAGGCAGCACUCUGGGCUGGUAUUGACGCUGAGUGAGCGAAAGCUAGGGGAGCAAACAGGAUUAGAUACCCUCGUAGUCCCUGAGCGGGCUGGCAAGGCGCAU